AAUUCUCAACUCUACCAGUUUUCUGUGUAGAGCUUGGAUAUGGAGGUUGUGCAGAAUGCUCACGCGUACUGCUCCUCUCAAAUGGAUUAGCGAGUUCACUGGACUCCGUCUAUUGGUGUGAUAAUUAUCUACGCCGUGGAUUGGGUUUAGACUUGCUUCUAACCGUCCGCAAGGACAAUCUUUGACA
This 187-nucleotide unclassified non-coding RNA is filed under the name Narcissea cordispora. RNAcentral's name for it is "Coprinus cordisporus partial internal transcribed spacer 2". Lineage: Eukaryota; Fungi; Basidiomycota; Agaricomycetes; Agaricales; Psathyrellaceae. The record is from RNAcentral.